Molecule: ribosomal RNA, 500 nt
Filed under: uncultured bacterium
Lineage: Bacteria
Description: partial 16S ribosomal RNA
Rfam family: Bacterial small subunit ribosomal RNA
Source: RNAcentral
AUUGAACGCUGGCGGCAUGCCUUACACAUGCAAGUCGAACGGCAGCGGGGACUUCGGUCCGCCGGCGAGUGGCGAACGGGUGAGUAAAGUAUCGGAACGUACCUUUCAGUGGGGGAUAACGUUGCGAAAGUUACGCUAAUACCGCAUAUUCUGUGAGCAGGAAAGCAGGGGAUCGCAAGACCUAGCGCUGAUUGAGCGGCCGAUAUCAGAUUAGCUAGUUGGUGAGGUAAAGGCUCACCAAGGCGACGAUCUGUAGCGGGUCUGAGAGGAUGAUCCGCCACACUGGAACUGAGACACGGUCCAGACUCCUACGGGAGGCAGCAGUGGGGAAUUUUGGACAAUGGGGGCAACCCUGAUCCAGCCAUGCCGCGUGAGUGAAGAAGGCCUUCGGGUUGUAAAGCUCUUUCGGCCGGGAAGAAAUCGUAUGGGUUAAUACCCUGUGCGGAUGACGGUACCGGCAUAAGAAGCACCGGCUAACUACGUGCCAGCAGCCGCAGUAA